This 406-nucleotide ribosomal RNA is filed under the name uncultured bacterium. Its description in RNAcentral is "partial 16S ribosomal RNA". It matches the Rfam family "Bacterial small subunit ribosomal RNA", at positions 29 to 526 of the family's 1533-position model. The record is from RNAcentral.
AUUGAACGCUGGCGGCAGGCCUAACACAUGCAAGUCGAACGAGUGGCGGACGGGUGAGUAAUGUCUGGGACACUGCCUGCUGGAGGGGGAUAACUACUGGAAACGGUAGCUAAUACCGCAUACCAUCGGAUGUGCCCAGAUGGGAUUAGCUAGUAGGUGGGGUAACGGCUCACCUAGGCGACGAUCCCUAGCUGGUCUGAGAGGAGGACGAGCGACACUGGAACGGAGAGACGGGCCAGACUCCGACGGGAGGCAGCAGUGGGGAAUAUUGCACAAUGGGCGCAAGGCUGAUGCAGCCAGGCCGCGUGUAUGAAGAAGGCCUUCGGGUUGUAAAGUACUUUCAGCGGGGAGGCGGUAGCCGCAGAAGAAGCACCGGCUAACUCCGUGCCAGCAGCCGCGGUAAUUC